Molecule: ribosomal RNA, 375 nt
Filed under: uncultured eukaryote
Lineage: Eukaryota
Description: SSU rRNA
Rfam family: Eukaryotic small subunit ribosomal RNA
Source: RNAcentral
AGCUCCAAUAGCGUAUAUUAAAGUUGUUGCAGUUAAAAAGCUCGUAGUUGGAUUUCUGAAGGCGCGACAAUGUCCGCUGAUUGCGUGUGCAGCGUUGCUCUUUCAUCCUUCUGUUAACGUUUCUUGGUAUUCAUUUACUGGUUUCGGGCUCAGAUAUUUUACCUUGAGAAAAUUAGAGUGUUUCAGGCAGGCUUGUGCUGGAAUACAUUAGCAUGGAAUAAUGGAAAAGGACUUUGGUCUCUUUUGUUGGUUUGAGGGACCUCAGUAAUGAUUAAUAGGGAUAGUUGGGGGCAUUAGUAUUUAAUUGUCAGAGGUGAAAUUCUUAGAUUUGUUAAAGACUAACUUAUGCGAAAGCAUUUGCCAAGGAUGUUUUCA